RNAcentral lists this ribosomal RNA (253 nucleotides) under uncultured bacterium. RNAcentral describes it as "partial 16S ribosomal RNA". It matches the Rfam family "Bacterial small subunit ribosomal RNA", at positions 524 to 776 of the family's 1533-position model. The record is from RNAcentral.
UACGAAGGGGGCUAGCGUUGCUCGGAAUCACUGGGCGUAAAGCGCACGUAGGCGGAUCUUUAAGUCAGGGGUGAAAUCCUGGAGCUCAACUCCAGAACUGCCCUUGAUACUGAAGAUCUUGAGUUCGGGAGAGGUGAGUGGAACUGCGAGUGUAGAGGUGAAAUUCGUAGAUAUUCGCAAGAACACCAGUGGCGAAGGCGGCUCACUGGCCCGAUACUGACGCUGAGGCACGAAAGCGUGGGGAGCAAACAGG